This 102-nucleotide small nuclear RNA is filed under the name Salvator merianae (Argentine black and white tegu). Lineage: Eukaryota; Metazoa; Chordata; Lepidosauria; Squamata; Teiidae. The record is from RNAcentral.
UUGCUUUAGUAGCAGAUAUAUUAAAUUGGAAUGAUACAGAGAAGAUUAGCAUGGCCACUGUGCAAGGAUGACAUGCAAAUUCAUGAAGUGUUCCAAAUAUAU